GCCUAAAGCGUCCGUAGCCUGAUCUAUAAGUUUCCGGUUAAAUCCACAUGCUCAACAUUUGGGCUGCCGGAAAAACUGUAGAUCUAGGGAGUGGGAGAGGUAGACGGUACUCGGUAGGAAGGGGUAAAAUCCUUUGAUCUAUUGAUGACCACCAGUGGCGAAGGCGGUCUACCAGAACACGUUCGACGGUGAGGGAUGAAAGCUGGGGGAGCAAACCGGAUUAGAUACCCGGGUAGUCCCAGCUGUAAACGAUGCAGACUCGGUGAUGCAUUGGCUUGUGGCCAGUGCAGUGCCGCAGGGAAGCCGUUAAGUUUGCCGCCUGGGAAGUACGUACGCAAGUAUGAAACUUAAAGGAAUUGGCGGGGGAGCACCACAAGGGGUGAAGCCUGCGGUUCAAUUGGAGUCAACGCCAGAAAUCUUACCCGGAGAGACAGCAGAAUGAAGGUCAAGCUGAAGACUUUACCAGACAAGCUGAGAGGUGGUGCAUGGCCGUCGCCAGCUCGUGCCGUGAGAUGUCCUGUUAAGUCAGGUAACGAGCGAGACCCUUGCCUCUAGUUGCUACCAUUGCUCUCUGGAGCAGUGGGGCGAAUUAGCGGGACCGCCGCAGUUAAUGCGGAGGAAGGAAAGGGCUACGGCAGGUCAGUAUGCCCCGAA
Molecule: ribosomal RNA, 654 nt
Filed under: uncultured archaeon
Lineage: Archaea
Description: bacterial SSU rRNA
Rfam family: Archaeal small subunit ribosomal RNA
Source: RNAcentral